AUGAUUAUUUUUCACGAAGUUGGAGGAGCUAUUUAUUCUUAGUUUUUAGACAGCAGAAUGUUGCAUAAUCAAGUUAAGGAUAACUAGGAGUGAAAGGCUUUUCAUAUCCAACGAUAACUUGAUGGUUUAGAAAUGUAAUAGUACAGAGGCACCCUUAAAGUGAUAAGGUUUUAAGAGGUUAACAAAAGGUUAGUGAUUCGAAGUAUAUUAUUUAACCAUAAAUACUUAAAUAAUUUAAUAUUAAUCUAAACGGAUUGUUUGUUUUAUAAACCUAUAGAUAAUUAAAUACCCUAUACUUAAUGUUAAUAUUAGUAGCGUAUAAAUAUUAAUAAUGAACUCGGCGAAAGUCUUUCAACUGUUUAUCAAAAACAUAGCUAUAUGAAUUUUGUAUAUAGUGAUUUCUGCUCAAUGAACUUUAAAUAGCCGCAGUACCCUGACUGUGCUAAGGUAGCGCAAUCAAUUGACUUUUAAUUGAAGUCCAGUAUCAAAGAAACCAUGGGGGACUACUCUCUCAUUAGUAAUAAUUGAAAUUGCUAAUAGAGUGCAAAUUCUCUUAAUUAAACAAUAGACGAGAAGACCCUAAAAAUUUGUAGGUGAGACUUUUUGUUGGGGCAACAAAGUAGUAAUGUUAAUCUACUUUAAUGACAUGAAAUUAAUACUUAGGUAGAAUAAAUUACUCUAGGGAUAACAGCAUAAUUUGAAAGAGUUUGUGACCUCGAUGUUGGACUAGGGAUUUUUCGUUUAGAAG
This 748-nucleotide ribosomal RNA is filed under the name Austrochloritis laurieton. RNAcentral describes it as "partial large subunit ribosomal RNA". Lineage: Eukaryota; Metazoa; Mollusca; Gastropoda; Stylommatophora; Camaenidae. The record is from RNAcentral.